Molecule: ribosomal RNA, 500 nt
Filed under: uncultured Acidobacteriota bacterium
Lineage: Bacteria; Pseudomonadati; Acidobacteriota
Description: bacterial SSU rRNA
Rfam family: Bacterial small subunit ribosomal RNA
Source: RNAcentral
UGGGGAUGAAGGUCUUCGGAUUGUAAACCCUGUUGGGAGGGGCGAAGGCUUUCGGCGAACAGUCCGGAAGCUUGACGGUACCUCCAGAGAAAGCCCCGGCUAACUCUGUGCCAGCAGCCGCGGUAAUACAGAGGGGGCGAGCGUUAUUCGGAAUUAUUGGGCGUAAAGGGCGCGUAGGCGGCCAAGCAAGUCUUGGGUGAAAUCCCUCGGCUCAACCGAGGAACUGCCUUGGAAACUGCUUGGCUUGAGGCCGGGAGAGGGUGGUGGAAUUCCCAGUGUAGCGGUGAAAUGCGUAGAUAUUGGGAGGAACACCAGUGGCGAAGGCGGCCACCUGGACCGGUCCUGACGCUGAGGCGCGAAAGCGUGGGGAGCAAACAGGAUUAGAUACCCUGGUAGUCCACGCCCUAAACGAUGGGUACUCGGUGUCGCGGGUAUCGACCCCUGCGGUGCCUUAGCUAACGCGUUAAGUACCCCGCCUGGGGAGUACGGUCGCAAGGCUG